Molecule: transfer-messenger RNA, 339 nt
Filed under: Mollicutes bacterium
Lineage: Bacteria; Bacillati; Mycoplasmatota; Mollicutes
Also listed under: 1 other name
Rfam family: transfer-messenger RNA
About the family: Bacterial tmRNA, also known as 10Sa RNA or SsrA, is named for its dual tRNA and mRNA-like properties. Its role is to liberate the mRNA from a stalled ribosome.
Source: RNAcentral
GGGGCUGCUUUGGCUUCGACGGGAACAAUAGUUAUAAAUCGCAAGUCGUAGGUAUGCGUUAAAUCCAAUAAUUUAAUAACUGGAAACAGAAAUCAAUUAGCUUUUGCUUAAUAUAGCAUAGCUGCUUCUUUUAUUCUUUCGCCCGUGAGGAAUUUAAGAGGCUCAAUUUAAUGGGAUAUAUUAUUGUAAUGCUUAUAGCAAUAAUGAAUUUAAUAAGCUUACUAAGGAAGGGAUUGUUAGUUAUCAACUUUUCUUAGGAAUUUUAUUAACUAACUAAACUUGUAGACAUUUAUAAUGAGAUGUUUUCGGACAGGGGUUCAAUCCCCCUCAGCUCCACCA